AGAUGUGAGGGCAAUCUGGCUGUGACAUAUGUCCCUCCACUGAUCGCCAGGGCUGACUAGGCUGAUCUGGCUGGCUGGGCAGGUGUCCCCUUCCUCCCUCGCCCUCCAUGUGUAUCUCUCCUGAAGACGCGUGCUUGGUCAAAGAGGCAGACUUUCCCUGAAUAGAGGAGGGCCAGCCUUUGCUCAAGGGUAUGUGGGUAGUGCUGCCCUGCUAGAGCCUCCAAGCAGGAUCUCAAAGACAUCUUUAGUGGCUAGAACCUAAAUAUGUAAAGUAGGUAUUUUACAACUGUAAAGAUCAAAGAUACUUGCUGAGAAUUUAC
Molecule: small nuclear RNA, 320 nt
Filed under: Jaculus jaculus (lesser Egyptian jerboa)
Lineage: Eukaryota; Metazoa; Chordata; Mammalia; Rodentia; Dipodidae
Description: 7SK RNA (ENSJJAG00000002641.1)
Rfam family: 7SK RNA
About the family: 7SK was discovered as an abundant small nuclear RNA in the mid-70s but a possible function has only recently been suggested. Two independent studies have found that 7SK RNA binds the CDK9/cyclin T complex (known as elongation factor P-TEFb). P-TEFb activates transcription by phosphorylating the C-terminal domain of RNA polymerase II.
Source: RNAcentral